RNAcentral lists this ribosomal RNA (253 nucleotides) under uncultured bacterium. RNAcentral's name for it is "partial 16S ribosomal RNA". It matches the Rfam family "Bacterial small subunit ribosomal RNA", at positions 524 to 776 of the family's 1533-position model. The record is from RNAcentral.
UACAGAGGGGGCAAGCGUUGUUCGGAAUUACUGGGCGUAAAGGGCGCGUAGGCGGCCUGUUAAGUCGAACGUGAAAUCCCCGGGCUCAACCCGGGAACUGCGUCCGAUACUGGCAGGCUUGAAUCCGGGAGAGGGAUGCGGAAUUCCAGGUGUAGCGGUGAAAUUCGUAGAUAUCAGGAGGAACACCGGUGGCAAAGGCGGGUCUCUGGGCCGAUACUGACGCUGAGGAGCGAAAGCGUGGGGAGCGAACAGG